AACUGUACAACAGGCUUAUCAUGUUGAUUUAGGUUUACAGGGACAAGAUUUUCAGGAAUGUUUGCAUGAGGGGGACUCUGUGAUGGUGGUUAUCGAACCUUUACCGCCUGCUGCUGUGGAGGUUGUUCCAAAUGUGACAUCUGAAGGUACCCUACCCUUAGUUUCUGGUCUAAAUUCGCCGUCUAGUGAGGUCUCUACUAUGGGGGCACAGGGCGUACGGAGAUCGACUAGGACAACAGCUGGGAAACAUUCUAAUCGUUAUCAUUUGCCCAGGACGGUAAUUGGUGAUGUAUCCGCUAGCAUUUCAUUGCCUGCGGAGAACUCCCUCCCGGGACCGGGAAGGGAUUGUCAUUUCCGCCCUUGGCUGUAAAAGGUUGAAUCAUUGGGACAAUGAUUGAAAAUCCCGGGGUAGAUUGUAGUGGGAUUGCCCCUUUAAUAAUAGCUGGCGUAGCCCUUUAAAAGAGCAGACAGAUUGCACCAGGUGCGUGGUUGCGUACGUCAGGUAAUCACGUAGCUAUAUAGGCUCAGGUGAGUUCGCUUUCUUUGUGCCAUUGUACUGAUGUGACCUGUUGCUGUAGGUCUUGUGUCUCCUUCACUCCUUGGUAAAGAUUAGUUGGGUAUAUCCAGGCAUCCGCGGUGAGUAUGUGAGUGUUAUACACGCAAAAGAGUGCCAGUUGCUGCUUUGCUGCGGUUAAAUCAUCGUUCCCGUUUGAGAAGCGGGUUUGCAGUGCACGCUCGUGGUUGUAUCGAGCGCCUGCAAGUUCAUUGAACAUUGUUAAUGCCUGUACGAUCCCCAUGGUGAAGCCGCUCUAAACCUGUAACUUGAUUUCGGGAUUGCAUGGUGUUCGCCACCUCGCUGGCGCAAUUUUAUGUAUGGUUUAACUUUAGUUAUUUAGUAAUCUGGGGUUAUUGUAUUUGGGUUGCUGCCUGCAUAUUGACAUCGCUCACUUACGGAGCAGAUUAACGGUGACGCAAUCCUUUUGAUUUUUAUUUAUUUGCCGAUUGUUUAACUGAAAUUGUGUGUUUGUUUGUUUCUUUAUUUGUUUUCGGUUUUGUUGUAAUCAUUAGCUCUUACCAUUUAGGUUGUUUUUGAAUUGAUUUAGUAUUUUGAUU
Molecule: long non-coding RNA, 1113 nt
Organism: Carassius auratus (goldfish)
Lineage: Eukaryota; Metazoa; Chordata; Actinopteri; Cypriniformes; Cyprinidae
Exons: 3
Source: RefSeq, a predicted model, not a curated record